AGCAGGAUGGCCUAGUGGAUAAAGCAUGGGCCUGGGAAUCAGAAGGAUCUGGGUUCCAAUCCCAGCUCUGCCA
RNAcentral lists this transfer RNA (73 nucleotides) under Ornithorhynchus anatinus (platypus). It matches the Rfam family "tRNA". From Rfam's summary of the family: Transfer RNA (tRNA) molecules are approximately 80 nucleotides in length. Their secondary structure includes four short double-helical elements and three loops (D, anti-codon, and T loops). The record is from Rfam by way of RNAcentral. Lineage: Eukaryota; Metazoa; Chordata; Mammalia; Monotremata; Ornithorhynchidae.